Hippocampus comes (tiger tail seahorse) is the source of this 516-nucleotide long non-coding RNA. RefSeq lists it as uncharacterized. NCBI's taxonomy places the organism in Eukaryota, Metazoa, Chordata, Actinopteri, Syngnathiformes, Syngnathidae. The transcript has 2 exons. The record is from RefSeq and is a predicted model, not a curated record.
CUUUAUUUGCAUUUGCCGCAUUAAAAUGGCCGCAGAGUAUUAGGGAAAAUGAUUGAGAUCAUUUAAGAGCAAAUACUUUUUAAAUGUUGUGUCUGGUGUGAUGAAUUACAUUGAAAAAGCCCCUCAUGUUCUAUGUAAUAUGCAGUAAAUAUCAAGUUUGUUUAUUUUAGGCCCUUCCGAUAUCAACCUACCAAGUCCUAUUGAAGAGACUCGAUUUUGUCCUGGGAAAACGCAAACCGGGACGAUUUAGGAUAAAAAAGGGAAUAAACACACACUACAACUAUUAUUAUAACCUCUUAAACACUGUUUAGAGGAAUUAAAGUCAGUGUCACCAAAAAGCACAGCAAUGCAAAUAAAUAGUAAUAUAAAUAAUCAAUUUUGAAGGUCUGGCAAAUUAUGUAAAUAUUACCAUCAACAGCAGUGGAAAAAAAAUUGGGGUUUAACAGAGCGCAAGGUGAGCUUUUAUAGUCAGUGGAAAGUUUGAGAUCAUUCUAAACUAAUGGGACAAAAAAAAAA